UACGAAGGGGGCUAGCGUUGCUCGGAAUCACUGGGCGUAAAGCGCACGUAGCCGGACUCUUAAGUCGGUGGUGAAAUCCUGGAGCUCAACUCCAGAACUGCCUUUGAUACUGGGAAUCUCGAGUCCGGGAGAGGUGAGUGGAACUGCGAGUGUAGAGGUGAAAUUCGUAGAUAUUCGCAAGAACACCAGUGGCGAAGGCGGCUCACUGGCCCGGUACUGACGCUGAGGUGCGAAAGCGUGGGGAGCAAACAGG
Molecule: ribosomal RNA, 253 nt
Filed under: uncultured bacterium
Lineage: Bacteria
Description: partial 16S ribosomal RNA
Rfam family: Bacterial small subunit ribosomal RNA
Source: RNAcentral